Molecule: ribosomal RNA, 253 nt
Filed under: uncultured bacterium
Lineage: Bacteria
Description: partial 16S ribosomal RNA
Rfam family: Bacterial small subunit ribosomal RNA
Source: RNAcentral
UACGUAGGCAGCGAGCGUUGUUCGGAAUUACUGGGCGUAAAGAGUGUGUAGGCGGUGCUCUAAGUUCGGUGUGAAAUCUCCUGGCUCAACUGGGAGGGUGCGCCGGAAACUGGAGUGCUUGAGCGUGGGAGAGGAAAGCGGAAUUCCUGGUGUAGCGGUGAAAUGCGUAGAGAUCGGGAGGAACACCAGAGGCGAAAGCAGCUUGCUAAACAAACAUUGACGCUGAGGCACGAAAGCGUGGGGAUCAAACAGG